GAUGAACGCUGGCGGCGUGCCUAAUACAUGCAAGUCGAGCGAACAGACGAGGAGCUUGCUCCUCUGACGUUAGCGGCGGACGGGUGAGUAACACGUGGAUAACCUACCUAUAAGACUGGGAUAACUUCGGGAAACCGGAGCUAAUACCGGAUAAUAUAUUGAACCGCAUGGUUCAAUAGUGAAAGACGGUUUUGCUGUCACUUAUAGAUGGAUCCGCGCCGCAUUAGCUAGUUGGUAAGGUAACGGCUUACCAAGGCAACGAUGCGUAGCCGACCUGAGAGGGUGAUCGGCCACACUGGAACUGAGACACGGUCCAGACUCCUACGGGAGGCAGCAGUAGGGAAUCUUCCGCAAUGGGCGAAAGCCUGACGGAGCAACGCCGCGUGAGUGAUGAAGGUCUUCGGAUCGUAAAACUCUGUUAUUAGGGAAGAACAAAUGUGUAAGUAACUAUGCACGUCUUGACGGUACCGAAUCAGAAAGCCACGGCUAACUACG
Molecule: ribosomal RNA, 495 nt
Filed under: uncultured bacterium
Lineage: Bacteria
Description: partial 16S ribosomal RNA
Rfam family: Bacterial small subunit ribosomal RNA
Source: RNAcentral